ACUUUUUUUUUCUCCAUAAAACUUGAACUUUUAUUUUUUCAUUAGUGUUGUCAAACUAUGAAUAUUAAUGUUAUUAGCAAACAAAUUUUGAACACGCCCUUAACAUCCAUAGGCACUUUGGCUCCUGGAAACGAAAUCAAUUAGGAUGCACUUCAAUCAUGUUGGAUCUAAAAAAAUAUUAGAUGUGUAAUAUUGACUUUAAAAAUUAUAAAAUUUUAUUUGAAGACUUUAAAA
Non-coding RNA from Parasteatoda tepidariorum (common house spider), 234 nucleotides. The record is from RefSeq and is a predicted model, not a curated record. Lineage: Eukaryota; Metazoa; Arthropoda; Arachnida; Araneae; Theridiidae.